This 1054-nucleotide long non-coding RNA is filed under the name Piliocolobus tephrosceles (Ugandan red Colobus). Its description in RNAcentral is "lncRNA (ENSPTEG00000012387.1)". The record is from RNAcentral. Lineage: Eukaryota; Metazoa; Chordata; Mammalia; Primates; Cercopithecidae.
ACCGUAUCUUCCCAAAAAUAAAAGAGAGUCAAAAAAAAAAAAAAAAAACCAUGGUAAUUUACUUAUAAAAAUGUUCAUGACUAAUUAUAUAUAUAUAUUUAUUUUUUUUUUUAUUUAUUUACUUAUUAAUUAAUUGAUCUAUCUCUAUUUUCUUCUUUUUAUUUUAUAAUAAAGAAGUAAUGAAAAAUUAAUGACGAAUUUCAUAAUAUUUAAAAAAAUAUGGUGACACAUUGAUUCUAUUAUCUAUCUAUCUAUCUACUUAUUUUUUUUUUUUUUUUUUUUUUUUUUUUUACAUAUUACUCAAAAUAAUGGAUGCACAAAAUAAACCUCAAAUAAUCGAACAUAUAAAUCACCCCCUUAAUGAUACAGUAUAUGAUGUCAAGUGGAUAGAUGGCAAAUCUAAAAUUGUUGCUGCUGGAGAAGCACUAGAUAAAACAGGGUAUUUAAGUGUUUAUGAUUUAAAUAAAGGCAACUUCACCCGCAUUUCUAAUCAUAUAACAAAAUGUGGUAUGAAAACCAGUAGUCUCUUUUUUUCGUAUACUGGGGCAUAUACCGUAGCAUGUGGCUCAUUUGAUGGAAGCAUAUUGUUGUACGAUAUCAAUGAAUUGUCAAAACCUUAUUAUACUAUAAAGAAGCACACAAAAUUAAUAAAUAAAAUUGAUUGUAAAAGCUUUAAAAAUAAUAAUAUUAUCAUAAGUGCUAGCAGAGAUGGUUCUGUAAAAAUUUUCGACAUACGGACAAAUCGAGAAGUAAAUAAAAAAAAAAUGAAUAUACACACACAUGUUCAUGUACUUAUAUAUAUAUAUAUAUUUAUCUAUUUAUUUAUUUUAUUGUUUUAUUACUUAUAAGUAUGACUAACACACAUUGAAUAUUCAUUUUUAUAUUAUAGCUUAAAUACUUGCACUAAAAAUUUCUUAUUUAUUCUAUUUUUUUACACUAAGGCUGUAAGUUUAGAACCCCCAAAAGACUCUGCUUACAUUCCAGAUUGUUGGUGUGUUGCUACAGGUUAAUAAUUAUAAAUAAAAAAAAUAAAAAAUUAAAAAAAUAAAAAAAA